Molecule: ribosomal RNA, 486 nt
Filed under: uncultured bacterium
Lineage: Bacteria
Description: bacterial SSU rRNA
Rfam family: Bacterial small subunit ribosomal RNA
Source: RNAcentral
GAUGAACGCUAGCGGCAGGCUUAAUACAUGCAAGUCGUGGGGCAGCAUGGGUAGCAAUACCUGAUGGCGACCGGCAAACGGGUGCGGAACACGUACGCAACCUUCCCAAAACUGGUGAAUAGCCCUCCGAAAGGAGGAUUAAUACACCGUAACAUAAUGAAAUGGCAUCAUUUUAUUAUUAUAGCUCCGGCGGUUUUGGAUGGGCGUGCGCCUGAUUAGGUAGUUAGCGGGGUAACGGCCCACCAAGCCUGCGAUCAGUAACUGGUGUGAGAGCACGACCAGUCACACGGGCACUGAGACACGGGCCCGACUCCUACGGGAGGCAGCAGUAAGGAAUAUUGGUCAAUGGACGCAAGUCUGAACCAGCCAUGCCGCGUGAAGGAUGAAGGUCCUCUGGAUUGUAAACUUCUUUUAUAGGGGACGAAAAAGGGAAUUCUUUCUCACUUGACGGUACCUAGGAAUAAGCACCGGCUAACUCCGUGCCAG